GUGGGGAAUAUUGGACAAUGGGCGAAAGCCUGAUCCAGCCAUGCCGCGUGUGUGAAGAAGGUCUUCGGAUUGUAAAGCACUUUAAGUUGGGAGGAAGGGCAGUAAGUUAAUACCUUGCUGUUUUGACGUUACCGACAGAAUAAGCACCGGCUAACUACGUGCCAGCAGCCGCGGUAAUACGUAGGGUGCAAGCGUUAAUCGGAAUUACUGGGCGUAAAGCGCGCGUAGGUGGUUCAGUAAGUUGGAAGUGAAAUCCCCGGGCUCAACCUGGGAACUGCUUUUAAAACUGCUGAGCUAGAGUACGGUAGAGGGUGGUGGAAGUUCCUGUGUAGCGGUGAAAUGCGUAGAUAUAGGAAGGAACACCAGUGGCGAAGGCGACCACCUGGACUGAUACUGACACUGAGGUGCGAAAGCGUGGGGAGCAAACAGGAUUAGAAACCCCUGUAGUCC
This 450-nucleotide ribosomal RNA is filed under the name uncultured bacterium. RNAcentral's name for it is "partial 16S ribosomal RNA". It matches the Rfam family "Bacterial small subunit ribosomal RNA", at positions 354 to 796 of the family's 1533-position model. The record is from RNAcentral.